Molecule: ribosomal RNA, 465 nt
Filed under: uncultured bacterium
Lineage: Bacteria
Description: partial 16S ribosomal RNA
Rfam family: Bacterial small subunit ribosomal RNA
Source: RNAcentral
GACGAACGCUGGCGGCGUGCUUAACACAUGCAAGUCGAACGGAAAGGCCCUGCUUGCAGGGUACUCGAGUGGCGAACGGGUGAGUAACACGUGGGUGAUCUGCCCUGCACUUCGGGAUAAGCCUGGGAAACUGGGUCUAAUACCGGAUAGGAGCCAUUUUUAGUGUGAUGGUUGGAAAGUUUUUUCGGUGUUGGAUGAGCUGGCGGCCUAUCAGCUUGUUGGUGGGGUAAUGGCCUACCAAGGCGGCGACGGGUAGCCGGCCUGAGAGGGUGGACGGCCACAUUGGGACUGAGAUACGGCCCAGACGCCUACGGGAGGCAGCAGUGGGGAAUAUUGCACAAUGGGCGCAAGCCUGAUGCAGCGACGCCGCGGGGGGGAUGACGGCCUUCGGGUUGUAAACUCCUUUCGCUAGGGACGAAGCUUUUUGUGACGGUACCUAGAGAAGAAGCACCGGCUAACUACGUG